RNAcentral lists this ribosomal RNA (1413 nucleotides) under metagenome. RNAcentral's name for it is "bacterial SSU rRNA". It matches the Rfam family "Bacterial small subunit ribosomal RNA". The record is from RNAcentral.
UAUUCGGUAGUGGGAGUGGCGUAAGGGUGCGUAACACGUGGGCAAUUUGCCCUGAAGUUGGGGAUAACUCCGAGAAAUCGGAGCUAAUACCGGAUGUGAUUCUCUGGUGGCAUCACUGGGGAAUUAAAGUUGGGGACCGCAAGGCCUGACGCUUUAGGAUAAGCCCGCGGCCUAUCAUGGUAGUUGGCGGGGUAACGGCCCACCAAGCCUAAUACGGGUAGCUGGUCUGAGAGGACGACCAGCCACACUGGAACUGAGACACGGUCCAGACACCUACGGGUGGCAGCAGUCGAGAAUUUUUCACAAUGGGCGAAAGCCUGAUGGAGCGACGCCGCGUGGGGGAUGAAGGGCUUCGGCCUGUAAACCCCUGUCAUUUGCGAGCAAACCUUUUCGUUGAACAGGCGAAAAGUUGAUAGUAGCGAAAGAGGAAGGGACGGCUAACUCUGUGCCAGCAGCCGCGGUAAUACAGAGGUCCCAAGCGUUGUUCGGAUUUACUGGGCGUAAAGGGUGCGUAGGUGGUCGGAAAAGUUUGGUGUGAAAUCUCCGAGCUUAACUCGGAAAAUGCACUAAAUACUAUUUGGCUUGAGGGUCGGAGGGGAGACUGGAAUUCUCGGUGUAGCAGUGAAAUGCGUAGAUAUCGAGAGGAACACCGGUGGCGAAGGCGAGUCUCUGGACGAUUCCUGACACUGAGGCACGAAAGCUAGGGGAGCAAACAGGAUUAGAUACCCUGGUAGUCCUAGCUGUAAACGGUGCACAUUUGCUGUGAGCGGAAUCGACCCCGUUCGUGGCGAAGCUAACGCGUUAAAUGUGCCGCCUGGGGAGUACGGUCGCAAGAUUAAAACUCAAAGAAAUUGACGGGGGCCUGCACAAGCGGUGGAGUAUGUGGCUUAAUUCGAUUCAACGCGAAGAACCUUACCUGGCCUUGACAUGUACGUAGUAGAAGGGUGAAAACCCGACGAGGUAGCAAUACCAGCGUACACAGGUGCUGCAUGGCUGUCGUCAGCUCGUGUCGUGAGAUGUUGGGUUAAGUCCCGCAACGAGCGCAACCCUUGUGUCCUGUUGCCACCCGAACGAGAGUUCGGAGCACUCUGGACAGACUGCCUCGCUUUAACGAGGAGGAAGGUGGGGAUGACGUCAAGUCAGGAUGGCCCUUACGGCCAGGGCUGCACACGUACUACAAUGCCCAGUACAGAGGGACGCGAGACCGCAAGGUGGAGCAAAUCCCAAAAAAGUGGGCUCAGUUCAGAUUGUCGGCUGCAAUUCGCCGACAUGAAGCUGGAAUCGCUAGUAAUGGCGCAUCAGCUACGGCGCCGUGAAUACGUUCCCAGGCCUUGUACACACCGCCCGUCACAUCAUGAAAGCCGUCUGUACCCGAAGUCAGCGUGUUAACUGCAAAGAGACAACUGCCGAAGG